Molecule: non-coding RNA, 111 nt
Filed under: Aminomonas paucivorans
Lineage: Bacteria; Thermotogati; Synergistota; Synergistia; Synergistales; Synergistaceae
Also listed under: 1 other name
Description: TPP sequence
Rfam family: TPP riboswitch aptamer (THI element)
About the family: Vitamin B(1) in its active form thiamin pyrophosphate (TPP) is an essential coenzyme that is synthesised by coupling of pyrimidine and thiazole moieties in bacteria. The previously detected thiamin-regulatory element, thi box was extended, resulting in a new, highly conserved RNA secondary structure, the THI element, which is widely distributed in eubacteria and also occurs in some archaea.
Source: RNAcentral
CAUAGCUUCCGGGGGAGUCCCGCAGACGGGACUGAGAGGAAGGGCGAGGCCCUUCGACCCCUCGAACCUGAUCCGGUUCAUACCGGCGGAGGAAGGAAGAUCCAGGGGCUU